CCGGUAGACGUCGAUGGGAGCGAUUACACGCAGAGGGCGCUGCGGUGGGAACCGACGGGAAUAGGCGCGCGCUGCCCCCAAAGAUCGGGAGGCGGCGGAAAUAACCGACCGUAAGGUAGACUACUCAAAAAACACGAAAUGAUUUAGUGUAUGUUAAUCGUACAACCACAAGCAGAAAGCACAAACAUGCUGUAAAGACACUCGAAUUUAAAUUCGGCACGUUUCCUUCUUAAUCUCUACAGUAAUUAAUCCGAAAUGGUAUAAUUCUCAUGAUAUCGUUAUCAUGCCAUAAUAAACCGCAGUGUGUAUAAUUAAUACCUCUAAAAGGCUUGGCGGAAAUUAGUGUUUGACCGCAAGUUCUACCUUUGCAAGAUAGUGCAAAUUGAAGUCUUAACUUCACCAACAGUAUUUGCACGAUAGCAUUAUUUGAGAGUAAUCGUUGACGAGAUUUCUAUUACUGUUAAAGGUCAAACACGAUUACAAUGCACAUGAAUUCGAAUAAAUUCGAAUGAAUUGGAUAUUGGAAUGAAUGAAUAAUAUGAAUGCGCAGUGCUUGAAAAGGCAGUGGAGAAUUACAUCGAAUUGGCACAAACCAGCGGGAGAUUGGCGCAUUAUAAUUGCCUACCUAAUUAAUGCACAAUUGGUUGCCUACAAUACACUCCAUUCAAACUAGCUCGUUCAUUUUUUAACCUCACAUGAAAAGAAAAUAAUCAAUACAAAACAAUAAAACCUGCACACAAUACGCAAAAAUGUAUUGGUAAAAAAGAUUUUAUUUCAAAAAAACUAUUUUCGUUGUGUUUUCGGUUUGAAACUCUAGUUACAUGUCAUUUUUUUUCGCUUGUGACAUAUGCACGUAAAGUUCACCCUCUGUUCAUCAUGUUCAGUCGAAAAAUGUUUUGUUAUCGGAUUAUAUGCGUGUGGGGUGUGUUUUGGGCGUUUGUGUCGCGCUUUUCGCUCGUCCUCUUCUACAUUCCGAACAGUCUGGCAACCCGAAUCGAAUAAAUAUAUAAAAUAACGAAAUCAAUCGCAUUCGAACGCGUUCGCCGUCGUACGAGCUUCAUACGCAUUGUCGUAAACAUCGUAUUGUUUUAUGUGCGAUGCGUUCGCCAUAUUCACAAUUCAAAGAAGAGUAUUUCCACUUCUACUGAACAUUGACAAAAAUAACACUAAAAUCACAUAUUCCAUUCUAGUAUUGCAUUUUUAAUCGGAUUUGCUUGUGCACUUUGGAAAAAUAAACAAAAAUGCAUUAAAAAUGUAUAUUUUUAUUGUGGUUUUAAGUGGUAUCGCAAUUGGCGUUCAUUUUUGUAUAUACAGUAUAUCACAGAGAUGAUUUGUUUCGCUGUCUGUUAUCCACGAGUUUGGCGGUGAUGAUUUGUUUUUCGCUCGAUUUAUCAGCGAUAACAAACGACAGCUAUCGUUGCAAGCAAUAAAUAUGAAUUUGGCGAACAUCUGACCAAUUUUACGCGAGUUUAA
Molecule: long non-coding RNA, 1473 nt
Organism: Dalotia coriaria
Lineage: Eukaryota; Metazoa; Arthropoda; Insecta; Coleoptera; Staphylinidae
Exons: 3
Source: RefSeq, a predicted model, not a curated record